RNAcentral lists this transfer RNA (67 nucleotides) under marine eukaryotic metagenome. It matches the Rfam family "tRNA". From Rfam's summary of the family: Transfer RNA (tRNA) molecules are approximately 80 nucleotides in length. Their secondary structure includes four short double-helical elements and three loops (D, anti-codon, and T loops). The record is from RNAcentral.
CGGGUGUAGUUCAACGGUAGAACCCCAGCCUUCCAAGCUGGUGACGUGAGUUCGAGUCUCAUCACCC